Long non-coding RNA from Diabrotica virgifera virgifera (western corn rootworm), 478 nucleotides. RefSeq lists it as uncharacterized. The record is from RefSeq and is a predicted model, not a curated record. The transcript has 3 exons. Lineage: Eukaryota; Metazoa; Arthropoda; Insecta; Coleoptera; Chrysomelidae.
UCGACAUAGGAUUGAGUGGUCUAGCCAUCUUUGUCAGUCACAUGCGCAAGAUCGCUUGGUUAAAAGAGAUAGAUAGACCACCGAUCAGUGAUGUAGGAGGGAGCCACCGAUCGACUGUUUGCAUGCUGUUUCCGCGUUACGCUUUUUUGAACUUACAAAAUGAAUUGUCCAGCCGUUUCGAGCUACUGAGACAGGUGCUUUUCUACAAAUUAAACAAUUACUGAAGAAACAUAAAAAUCAUGAAAUGUCAGAAGUGGUAUACGAUUAUUUGCCCAUAAACCGUAAGCUAAACUCUAACUUACUAACAAAAUAUUGUCGAGGAAUUUAAUGUAUGUUCGUGGCAAUUAAAAGCUAAUUCAACAAAAAAUGUGUUCAACUGGAAAAUUAAGCACAAUGAAAGAUCUAUCCAACAUUGCAUAUGGUAUGAAAAGUGCUAUUUAGUAAUAAUUUAGAACAGUAGUAAAGGAGUUGAAAGAUA